RNAcentral lists this ribosomal RNA (253 nucleotides) under uncultured bacterium. RNAcentral describes it as "partial 16S ribosomal RNA". It matches the Rfam family "Bacterial small subunit ribosomal RNA", at positions 524 to 776 of the family's 1533-position model. The record is from RNAcentral.
UACAGAGGUCCCGAGCGUUGUUCGGAUUCAUUGGGCGUAAAGGGUGCGUAGGCGGCGCGGAAAGUUGGGUGUGAAAUCCCUCGGCUCAACCGAGGAACUGCGCCCAAAACUACCGUGCUCGAGGAAGAUAGAGGUGAGCGGAACUUAGGGUGGAGCGGUGAAAUGCGUUGAUAUCCUAAGGAACACCGGUGGCGAAAGCGGCUCACUGGAUCUUUUCUGACGCUGAGGCACGAAAGCUAGGGUAGCGAACGGG